CGCGGGAUGGAGCAGUUGGUAGCUCGUCGGACUCAUAACCCGAAGGUCACAGGUUCAAGUCCUGUUUCUGCAACCA
RNAcentral lists this transfer RNA (76 nucleotides) under Sporomusa ovata DSM 2662. RNAcentral's name for it is "tRNA-Met". It matches the Rfam family "tRNA". From Rfam's summary of the family: Transfer RNA (tRNA) molecules are approximately 80 nucleotides in length. Their secondary structure includes four short double-helical elements and three loops (D, anti-codon, and T loops). Lineage: Bacteria; Bacillati; Bacillota; Negativicutes; Selenomonadales; Sporomusaceae. The record is from RNAcentral.